RNAcentral lists this ribosomal RNA (437 nucleotides) under uncultured bacterium. RNAcentral describes it as "bacterial SSU rRNA". It matches the Rfam family "Bacterial small subunit ribosomal RNA", at positions 917 to 1350 of the family's 1533-position model. The record is from RNAcentral.
GGGCCCGCACAAGCGGUGGAGUAUGUGGUUUAAUUCGAAGCAACGCGCAGAACCUUACCAGCCCUUGACAUGGGGAGUUUGGUCGCCGGAGACGGCGUCCUUCAGUUCGGCUGGCUCCCGCACAGGUGCUGCAUGGCUGUCGUCAGCUCGUGUCGUGAGAUGUUGGGUUAAGUCCCGCAACGAGCGCAACCCUCAUCCUCAGUUGCCAUCGGGUUUGGCCGGGCACUCUGAGGAAACUGCCUGUGAUAAGCAGGAGGAAGGCGGGGAUGACGUCAAGUCCUCAUGGCCCUUACGGGCUGGGCUACACACGUGCUACAAUGGCGGUGACAGUGGGAAGCUAAGGGGCGACCUGGAGCAAAUCCCCAAAAGCCGUCUCAGUUCGGAUUGCACUCUGCAACUCGAGUGCAUGAAGGUGGAAUCGCUAGUAAUCGCGGAUC